This 484-nucleotide ribosomal RNA is filed under the name uncultured bacterium. RNAcentral describes it as "partial 16S ribosomal RNA". It matches the Rfam family "Bacterial small subunit ribosomal RNA", at positions 30 to 507 of the family's 1533-position model. The record is from RNAcentral.
AUUGAACGCUGGCGGCAGGCCUAACACAUGCAAGUCGAGCGGAUGAAGGGAGCUUGCUCCUGGAUUCAGCGGCGGACGGGUGAGUAAUGCCUAGGAAUCUGCCUGGUAGUGGGGGAUAACGUCCGGAAACGGGCGCUAAUACCGCAUACGUCCUGAGGGAGAAAGUGGGGGAUCUUCGGACCUCACGCUAUCAGAUGAGCCUAGGUCGGAUUAGCUAGUUGGUGGGGUAAAGGCCUACCAAGGCGACGAUCCGUAACUGGUCUGAGAGGAUGAUCAGUCACACUGGAACUGAGACACGGUCCAGACUCCUACGGGAGGCAGCAGUGGGGAAUAUUGGACAAUGGGCGAAAGCCUGAUCCAGCCAUGCCGCGUGUGUGAAGAAGGUCUUCGGAUUGUAAAGCACUCUAAGUUGGGAGGAAGGGCAGUAAGUCAAUACCUUGCUGUUUUGACGUUACCAACAGAAUAAGCACCGGCUAACUUCGUG